This 207-nucleotide ribosomal RNA is filed under the name uncultured bacterium. RNAcentral describes it as "partial 16S ribosomal RNA". It matches the Rfam family "Bacterial small subunit ribosomal RNA", at positions 568 to 774 of the family's 1533-position model. The record is from RNAcentral.
CGCGUAGGCGGCUCUGUAAGUCGAAUGUGAAAGCCCCGGGCUUAACCUGGGAAUUGCGUUCGAUACUGCGGAGCUAGAGUAUGGUAGAGGGAAGUGGAAUUUCCGGUGUAGCGGUGAAAUGCGUAGAUAUCGGAAGGAACACCAGUGGCGAAGGCGACUUCCUGGGCCAAUACUGACGCUGAGGUGCGAAAGCGUGGGGAGCAAACA